This 107-nucleotide microRNA precursor is filed under the name Zea mays. RNAcentral's name for it is "MIR5565 microRNA precursor family". It matches the Rfam family "MIR5565 microRNA precursor family". Lineage: Eukaryota; Viridiplantae; Streptophyta; Magnoliopsida; Poales; Poaceae. The record is from Rfam by way of RNAcentral.
AUAGUAGUAUUGACCUCAGUCCACAUGUGUUAAGGUGGAUUGGGUGUAAAUUAGUUUAAGUUACACACCAAUCCACCCUAAUACAUGUGGAUUAGGUCAAUGCUAGA